RNAcentral lists this non-coding RNA (30 nucleotides) under Homo sapiens (human). Lineage: Eukaryota; Metazoa; Chordata; Mammalia; Primates; Hominidae. The record is from RNAcentral.
UAGUCUGACCUUGAUUGACCUUCCCGGCCA